This 28-nucleotide non-coding RNA is filed under the name Homo sapiens (human). The record is from RNAcentral. Lineage: Eukaryota; Metazoa; Chordata; Mammalia; Primates; Hominidae.
UCCAGAGACAUCCACUUUGCCCAAUGGU